Drosophila ananassae is the source of this 664-nucleotide long non-coding RNA. RefSeq lists it as uncharacterized. NCBI's taxonomy places the organism in Eukaryota, Metazoa, Arthropoda, Insecta, Diptera, Drosophilidae. The transcript has 3 exons. The record is from RefSeq and is a predicted model, not a curated record.
AAUAAGUGUCAUGAGAAAGCAACCAUCACAGUAUUGUGUGAAAUUUUCAAGAAGCACGUAAUACUUACAUUUAAACCGCUUUUAAAAUUAUAUAUUUUGUUUUCAAAUCUUCGAGUGUUGGCCAAUCGCGAUUCUCCAAUUAAAAGAAGACGAUUGACAAAAUUGUGAAAACAGAAGACCCGGAACAGAGGAACACUACUAUACAGUACCAGGUGGGUGCAGUGUCCGAUGGGAGUUGCAUGGCCAUAGGGAAAAUGGAUUCCAAAACUAAAGUUGCAGAUGGAGACGUUGGAAAGCGAAUCCAAAUCAAAAGCAAAUCUUGUUACGACGAAUUUCAACUACUGUGCGGCCGAGUUGAACAAAGACGGCCAGACGAAGGACUCACGCCGGACGAGACUUGCCAGGACUUCAGGGAGAACUGUGGCAAGGGUGGGGAAGGGGGCAUGCUGCAUGUUGCACAAAAAGAAACGCGCCUGGAUAAACACAAUGGGUCGCCCUGGAAAAAGAAAAAGAAUGGAAAGGGGGUGGGAUCACUAAUUUACUUAAAGGCAGCCGCGCCGAAACUGCAAACAAAUGACAUUUAAAGUGCAGUGAAAAGUCGCUAACUAGCACGCCACGACGACAAGACGACGAAGGACAUCAGACGAAAGGACGAGAGGGCAAG